This 543-nucleotide unclassified non-coding RNA is filed under the name fungal sp. JH 173. RNAcentral's name for it is "sequence contains 18S rRNA gene, ITS1, 5.8S rRNA gene, ITS2 and 28S rRNA gene". Lineage: Eukaryota; Fungi. The record is from RNAcentral.
GGGGGUUAGAUCGCGCCGCCAUCGCUAAUGCUUUUAAGGAGAGCCGAAGACCCUAGGGUCGCCCGGCAGCCCCCAAAAUCCAAGCCAAACCCUCGAAACGAAUCGAGGGAUGGUUGAGAAUUAAAUGACACUCAAACAGGCAUGCUCCUCGGAAUACCAAGGAGCGCAAGGUGCGUUCAAAGAUUCGAUGAUUCACUGAAAAUCUGCAAUUCACAUUACUUAUCGCAAUUCGCUGCGUUCUUCAUCGAUGCGAGAGCCAAGAGAUCCGUUGCUGAAAGUUGUAUUAUGGUUCUUUACCGUCGCCGACCGGGCACGAAGCCAAGCCGUCCGACGCUUUUAGAUACAUUCCUAGACAUACGUAGUGUUUAUGUGAAGACAUAGAUCCCCUCGCGGAGACCUACAAUGGGUGCACGGGUGUGAAGAAAGGGUUUUCCAAAGGAAAGGCAAAGGAGGACUAAGGAGAACUCGGAACGUGCACAUGCCUUCGUUUCCAAAGGCCAGCGACAAUCCCUACGAUCUACCAAACUUCGCUCGGUCGCCUCC